Drosophila santomea is the source of this 1111-nucleotide long non-coding RNA. RefSeq lists it as uncharacterized. Lineage: Eukaryota; Metazoa; Arthropoda; Insecta; Diptera; Drosophilidae. The record is from RefSeq and is a predicted model, not a curated record. The transcript is spliced from 5 exons.
CUUUUCUUUUGCAGGUCCAGAUUGUCCAGGAUUUUAAAUUUGUCCGGUGGGAUUUAAAAAGGAAAGCGAUGCCAUGGAUUUAUAAGAAGCAUCGUUGGGGAGGUUCGUAUAUGUCAGUAGGGAUAUUUUCAUUAUACCGCUACUAUUAUAAAGGUCGAAUUUGAGGGUCACAAUUUUGACCUUUUGCCGGGCCGGCAGCGCCACACCCAGAAUUCAGAAGGGCGAGGGGGCAUACCGACUUGGAAACGGCAUCAAAACAUUAUACGUUUUUAAUGUUUUAGGUGCCAAAACAUCGUUUUCCGUUGCGCUGAGACGGGAGGGAUGUUUACAGUAUACUGUUGCUGCCAGGAAAAAAGUCGAAUUUAGGGGUCAUGCUUUUGACCUUUUGCCAGGCCAGCAGCGCCGCGCUUAGGAUUCAGAAGGAAGAGGGGGCAUCCUAGCAUGGAAACGGCAUCAAAAAAUUAUGCGUUUUUAAUGUUUUAGUUGUCAAAAACUUCGUUUUUCGAUUUCGUCUAGCAGGGAUAUUGUCAGUGUUUUCGUUGCUGUCGGAAAAAGGUCGAAUUCAAGGGUCAUGAUUUUGACCUUUUGCCGGGUCGGCAGUGCCUCACCCAGAAUUCAGGAGGACGAGGGGGCAUUCCAACAUGGAAACGGCAUCAAAACAUUAUACGUUUUUAAUGUUUUAGGUGCCAAUAACAUCAUUUUUCGUUGCGUCGAGUCGGGAAGUAGUAAUUUGCGUGGUUUUACGCUUUUAUUAAUUUAUUUUGUUCUUUUUCAAGGAUGUUUUCAGUAUACUGUUAUUUCCAGGAAAAAAGACGAAUCCAAGGGUCACGCUUUUGACCUUUUGCCAGGUCAGCAGCGCCGCGCUUAGGAUUCAGAAGGACGAAUGGGCAUCCCAGCAAGGAAAUGGCAUCAAAACAUUAUGCGCUUUUAGUGUUUUAGUUUCCAAAACUUCGUUUUCCGUUGCGUCUAGUAGGGAUAUUAUAAUUGCUACCGGGAAAAAAAGUUGAAUUCAGGGGUCACGAUUUUGACCUUUUGCCGGGUCGGCAGCGCCGCACCAAGGGUCAAUAAAAUCGAGGGUGCUUCUUGACAUGGGGACGGCAUCAAAACUUUG